GCCAAUGAUGACGUUUUUGAAUGAGACACUGAAAUGCUACUUGCAUUCAAUGUUGAAUUUUUAUGAACUAGGACGGUCUGAGGC
Small nucleolar RNA from Mangifera indica (mango), 84 nucleotides. RefSeq annotates it as small nucleolar RNA snoR20a. Lineage: Eukaryota; Viridiplantae; Streptophyta; Magnoliopsida; Sapindales; Anacardiaceae. The transcript has a single exon. The record is from RefSeq and is a predicted model, not a curated record.